This is a long non-coding RNA of Monomorium pharaonis (pharaoh ant), 707 nucleotides long. RefSeq lists it as uncharacterized. Lineage: Eukaryota; Metazoa; Arthropoda; Insecta; Hymenoptera; Formicidae. The transcript is spliced from 2 exons. The record is from RefSeq and is a predicted model, not a curated record.
UGAUUUUAUCUCGGCCACCUAGAGCUUCUUUCAGAAAGAUCUGCUAUAUCUAUAUAGAGUAUCUCUACAGAAUGGUACAGGGGGAAUCCGGGUAGAAGUGUUUAUUUGGAGUGGUGGUCUCUCCACCCCUAAUCCCCGAACUCUCGAGGGAGCAUCUUCGGAGGGUAGAAAACUGUGAGAAGAAACGUUUCGCCGACCGUACACUGAGAUCAUAUUUUUUACUCAAAGUUUGUCAUAGGCAUAUCUCGGUUAAAUUGCAAAGUCUUUAUUGAAUUUAUCCUUAAUUAAAACACAGUAUGUUAAAAGAAGAUAUAAUAAAUGUAAAUUUUAGUGGAUUUGAUUACUUCAAGCUACAAAAUUAAGUAAGAUUAUAAUCGUCAUCAUUGCAUGAUGGAGCGUGCAGCCUGCAAAAAUCGUUACGAGAGUGCUGCGCCGAUCAUAAAGAGGCGCAUCGGAGGACAAUGGCUUUCGGAUAUUAAAAUGGCACGUGACAGACAAAAGGCACCAAAAUGCACAGUACGUGUUAACGAAUUAGGGUGGAAUGACGAGUAUAUGAGACACGCUGACUCAACUUAAUGGACAUUGAACGGCAUUCAGCACUCUCGUGCUCUACAACAUGACUUUAUGCUUUUUGUAUAUUUUCUAUUAUUAAUCGUAUACUUUAAAAUAUACUUUAGAAACAUAAAAAAAUAUAGACUUAGAUAACA